AACAAAAAUAAAAAAUCAAAAUAAUAAACGCUUUGUAUUUUUUUUAGACCAGUCUCAUUGGAUCUGAAACAGACUGUGUAAGAGCGUUGAUAUAGCUUCACCGACUAUACAUCAAUGCACUUUGCAACUCGUGUGAGAAGAUAGUGAGCAGUUCGUCUGAAGUCAUUUUGAUGUUCCCUUAUGCGAACAAUAAUCCAUACUAACAGCAAUCUGUACCGACGUUCAUGUAUAUGUAAAAUUUCAUCAACUUGAGCAAUGAACCACUACUAUUGUACAAACAAUCAAAAUUUUGAGUUAUUAACGAAAAAGACUCGGCAAAUCAAUGUGAUUACAUGAAAAAUGGUUGACUGCACAAUUGGCUCUUACAGUAGCAGCGGUUAAUAUUGGGCGACAACGAAAGGCGGAAAAAAGAUACAAGUGGCGUAUGGGCAAUUGCAGUAGUUAUCUAACCUGAUUGUUGAGGUGACCCAUUUGAACAUAUAAAUGGAUUUUUUCCGGAAAUAUAAUAAAAAUAAAUAAUAGAUUUUUUUUAAUAUA
Molecule: long non-coding RNA, 537 nt
Organism: Harpegnathos saltator (Jerdon's jumping ant)
Lineage: Eukaryota; Metazoa; Arthropoda; Insecta; Hymenoptera; Formicidae
Exons: 2
Source: RefSeq, a predicted model, not a curated record